This 468-nucleotide ribosomal RNA is filed under the name uncultured bacterium. RNAcentral describes it as "partial 16S ribosomal RNA". It matches the Rfam family "Bacterial small subunit ribosomal RNA", at positions 28 to 507 of the family's 1533-position model. The record is from RNAcentral.
GACGAACGCUGGCGGCGUGCUUAACACAUGCAAGUCGAACGGAAAGGCCCUGCUUUUGUGGGGUGCUCGAGUGGCGAACGGGUGAGUAACACGUGAGUAACCUGCCCUUGACUUUGGGGUAACUUCAGGAAACUGGGGCUAAUACCGGAUAGGAGCUCCUGCUGCAUGGUGGGGGUUGGAAAGUUUCGGCGGUUGGGGAUGGACUCGCGGCUUAUCAGCUUGUUGGUGAGGUAGUGGCUUACCAAGGCUUUGACGGGUAGCCGGCCUGAGAGGGUGACCGGCCACAUUGGGACUGAGAUACGGCCCAGACUCCUACGGGAGGCAGCAGUGGGGAAUAUUGCACAAUGGGCGGAAGCCUGAUGCAGCAACGCCGCGUGCGGGAUGACGGCCUUCGGGUUGUAAACCGCUUUCGCCUGUGACGAAGCGUGAGUGACGGUAAUGGGUAAAGAAGCACCGGCUAACUACGUG